ACUUGUAUUCGAAAUCAUAGUUUUUGGUCUUUAUCCGGAACCAUAGAUUUAAAGUUUUAAGUAAAAGUGGAAGUGAAUUCAAAAGGAGUUUACCGAUUUACAACCUUCUUCAUAUUUUAGUUCGGAAAGUGCUUGAUUCUUUAUCUACGUUCAUGAAUGAAGUUCAACACCGCCAUUGGCCACUUGAGUUAUGUCGGGAUCCAGCAUAAACAUGCUCUUGUGGACGACAUACCUCUCACUCACGACGAAAGAAAAGAAUUGUCUGCUAUGUUUGAGGCCAUUUUGGAUAACAGGAACCGGAAGUGAAAAUUUGGAAUGGAUUGUGGGAUUUAACACUGACGUAAAAGUCUUAACGCUGCGUUAAUUAACGUCAGCAUUAAAACUGUUUCAGCAACAUAAAGUCAACGGCUGAUUAAAUGACGCUGCGUUAGUGAACUUAACGGAGGUAAAGCUUAACGGUAAUGCUAUCUUAACGGUGCUUUGAGCAACCCGGUCCUGGCCUUGUGGAUUCUAAAUUACAGGUCAGAUAUCAGUAAAUGUUAUAGAUUCAGGUCAGAUUUCAAUAAACACCUGGGAUACAGGUUGGUAAUAGUGAACUUUAAGGAUUCCAGGUAUUAUAAAUACAACAAGUGGUCCCAUUGGAAUAAUAUACAAUGUUUCAUGUUCUCUUAUAGAAAUAAACAACUUAACUUGUCACUCAAUAUAUCAAGUUGCCUUGUAUGCAAUUAUAUGCGUAAAAUUAUAAUUCCUAAUAGAUCAGGUUAAACUACCUUUUAAGAUUUUUACCCUUAAAUUUGUAUUCGUAUCCGAAAGAAUUCAGUAUUCAAAGUAAACUACCCUUAAGUGUUUAUUAGGCCAGUGAUCUAACUUCUUGGGAAAGUGUCGACAUCGCCAGUUGUCACAUAGAUGUGGAUGAGUUCGAACUAUGUCAGAUUUCGUUUUUGGUAGCCACAUUACGUCACAAGCGUCAGCGGAUAGCUUAUAGACGACACAUUGCAGACAUGUGCAAAUCAAGAGUGUAAAAAUACAAGAUUUCGUUCAGAAAAUGUGAACACAACAUAAAGCAUAAAUGUGUUGUGCAAAUGUAAAACGAAACGUCAGUGUCCUGAUUUAUGACAGUAAUAUUUACCCUACCCCACGUUUUGUACUAUUUCUUUACCAUAGUUAGAAGUUAAUACAAAUGUAUUAUACGUGCGAUUGAUGUUCAAUGUUUACUAGAACGGGGCAUGGAGCGCAAUGCGUCUGAGUUGAUUAUUUCUGGUCUCAGAUAAUGGAACUAAUGAGACUCUAUAAUCUAGUUUCUAGGACAAUGGGGCCGGUAAUUAUUAGAUUUACCGAUUUCGAAUAUAAUAGGAAUCGGUGAGACUUGAUUUACUCAUGUCUUACCUUUCAGAAAAAGGACAUUGUCAGGAAAAGGGAAGUUCCGAGGAUUUAGAGGUCGGCAGAUGCGCCAUGAAAGCCGGUGUCAGCAUACAUGGAGCUCUCGACAGAUUCGAGCGGGAAAGUUUCCACCCGGAUAAUAUAAACGACUACAUUCCUGGGCCGCCACCUCAGUGGCUUUAUUAUUAUCCGAGGAAUAAACCAAAAGGGAUAAGAACACCGUUUUGUUAAUCGAUGUGAUUACUUAUGAUUUACUUGGGGGAAAAAAAUCACAUACAAAAUUACAAGUACGGUUUUCCCCAGGAAACGAACUCGAGAGUGUCUAAAUAAGUCUUAAGCCGUCGAUGGUAAGGUUCAAACUAAGUUGGCCUUCGUUUAUACCACUUUUAUUGUUUUAUUCACGUUAAUUGUUACAUAAACAUGAUUUGUAAAAUUAUGGCAAUUGAUAAUUUAGAAGAUUGUUACUCGCAACAUCGUAGUAAUAUCUAAAAUACGUUUUGGUACAAGAUGACACGUGCAGUGUAUGGUUUAAAAGCCCGGUAUACAUAAAGUAUUCAUAAUUAAUACCAAUUUCAAGAAGUAAAACGCUUUUUUGAGCGAACAUGACCUCGACGAAUAUGAAAUUAAUAAAAUUAUUGUUUUGCAUUCAAAUUUUGUUUGAAGUAUGUAAAUGACAAAUGUACACUUUUUGUUAAGGGAAAGUCGGCUGAAUGUGUUCCCCCAAAACGGAAAAAAACAUAUGACCGUGUGUGUCUAAAUUUGGCAACCAGCGUGAAUAUUUAUAGAAAAUAUCAGGGUUCCGAGUGCUGCAGUGAACUCAGCGUCACGUUGCAUAGGAUGGAGACUGGUGACAUGCUCGUGUUUUAUCACCUGCUCUACAAGACGCACGUGUACAAGCGCAACAUGGCGGCCUCCUACACGAACUUCUACUCGUACAACAAUGUUAGUAUUAUUAUACCUUGCAUAAUAAUAAAAUAUAUGUGUUAUAUUUUCCGCUUACGCCCUUUGAAAUAGUCAUUAACAAUUAUAUGCAAAAGCAAGAUUGCAAGACAAAAUAUCGCGGCAUACUUCGAUUCGAAUGUAUUCAGAAUUCCAAUAGCGAUACACUCAAAAACAACUCUAAAGCUAUUUUUCUAAGUGCUUGUAUGGAGCUAAAUCACCAUGUAUUGUUUCAUAAAAUCUGUUUUGCUUUCAUGAUGAGUUGAAAAUAAUCACAAGGAAAAUAUAAGUAUCAUUGGUGAUACCGGAGCUUUUUACCGUAUUGUCACCCUUAAAACAGAUAAAGGAAUGCACUCAAAACACGAAACGAUGUCACGGAAUUACGAUGCCAAAUUGCGAUAUUUAUGUCAUGAUUGCGCAUCGGAAUUUCGUUUUGCAGUUUCGCUUUUUGACUUGGUUUCUCGUGCUUAUGAUAUAUGAAACAACGAGUGGCCUUAAUGGAACACAAAAUCAGACGGACAAAACCAGCUUGCCCUCGUUUUAUAUAUUUCCAAGAAUGCAAAUGAUAGAACACAGAUAUUUAAAAUCACAUAAAUGAAAAUGUUACAUAUAUUAACAUAUAUUAACGUUUAAGAAACAAAAAUAGACUGUAUUAUGUUAACUUUGCAUAUUCCAAUACCAUUCUUUUUGGGAAAAAAACUGCUUAUUUUGAUAUUUUAAAAACUUUAACGUAAUCAAAAUAUAAUAUUAUUCUAAGCAAAUACAUUUAAUGACAUUUUAAAAAAUUAUGAAAAUUUGUGAACAAAUCCUUAUUUGACAUUUUAAGCACCAGCUGCCACGGAUGAGCUGCCAACCAUCCAGCAGUCAUUGGACGGUUUAAUAGCAUACAUACUUUCAAAGCCGUGCAAUCAUAGUAACCAAUCGGAUGAUGAUCUAUGCAUCUUAUUCUCGCUCUGGUACAGCAGGGCUUAAUGCAUGGGCGUUAAGUGUCGUAACGAAUUAGCCUUGAAGUCCGCCCAAGCUAAUCAGGGACGAUACUUUCAUCCUUACCUAGAUUUUCGCUUAGAAGAGACUUAGUUAAACGCAAAAUACCAUAACAGUGGCAAGUGUCGACCCUGAUUAGCAAUAUCGGACUGCACAGGCCAAUCUUGGACGACACUGUACGCCCGCGCAUUGAGCCCCGUUUUUCCAGGACGCGAUUCAAAAAAAAUUAUAUUAAGAUUUCUUCUUGUAAGUUUGUAAUUUAGCCGUCGAUCGGGUGGUCGGUCGGUAGGUCGGUCGGGCAUUCGGAUGGUCCUUCCGACGACAUAUCAUUAAUCAAUGUAUGUAUAAAGCGUACAUAUAUAUUUCUUUCAGCAAAAUUCAUUUGUAUUUUUGCUCAAAUAAGGUUGAUAUAUUCGUUUAUUGACGGCGAUAUAUGCUAAUUAAUUAUGCUAAAACAUUUCAAUAUGAAUCUACUUAUUUAUUCGAUUGUGAACUUGUUUAUCGAUCAAAUGGCGACCUUUCAUGGUUAUCAAUUUGACCCAUAUCCACUCUCUGCCGUUGUGCACAUAGAGAGUUACAUGAAGGUAUUAAGGUCAUCCCUCUGACACAACUGCCCCCUCCCCUCCGUAUCUCUCCGUAUAGGGCAAUCAGAGGUGGACGAACAAGGACCGACCAGCGAAUUUGAAGUCAGCGGUAUUUUUGAUAAGGGCUCUGUUUUUAUUUACCAUCAUACGACAAGUUAUAGUUACGACUGAAUUUAGUAAUUUUAAAUUCGACAUUUACGAUAGGUUUGUUCCUGUGAAUUAUGAUAUUAAAGAAAUGGUAUCGUCAUUUACGGUAACUUACCUUUUUCCAAACUGUUGGUUCAUUUUUCACAAAAUUCGGAAAUAAGAAUGCUUUAUCAUGUUAACAUGUUCUUUGCAAAUGUAUGUGUUUAGGCGAUGUACUCUGUACAAGUCUUAAAUAAAAUAUAUGUCUGUCAUUUGAGACAUUAAUGCAAUUAAGUAUUUACAAAUGUCAGAACGUAACAUGUUUGCGCCUUUAAGGGUUCUUUCGAUGUGAAGAUCGUUCGAUCGUGAACAUUCCUGCUCAGGGAAUAUUUCUGAGAUAUUUAAUUAAGAAAGUCCUUAGUCCGUUUUAUUUAAAAGUUCAGUUACGAUUUUAUUUUGUAGUGUCCAAAAAACUAGAUAAAGAUGAACAUAGUUACGGCCAGUUUUAAAUAAAGGACGCGUGGAAGACACUAAGAAUAGUUUUAAUACAAUUCUGACCUUAAGUUAUUUUAGAUGAUUUAAAAACGUUUAGAUUGAGAAAGAAAAAAUCAUCAUAGCGUAAAUUCUUAUGUUUAAUAACAUGCACCACAGAACACCAAUUUAUAAACCCUUACGAAAGAAUGUCAAAGUACUAAAAUUAUUUAUUUAAAUGUCUAUUUUAAGUUAAGCAUCUCUAAAUAAUUUAGGUACAUGUCGGUUAUUACAUAUUAUCAACAGCAGAUCAGUAGCAAUUCAAAUUUUAAACAUAUAUUUGAUAUCAAACAUUUUCCUACAGUUCAACUUCAGUCGCGCUUUCGGAAAUCCUUUACCAGUGUUUACCAGAAAACGGACCUGUAUGUUAUAAUUUAAGCGCAAACAGUCGAAACAGUCGAACCAAGAUAGGGUAAAAUAUCAAUAAAACUAACCGUAAUCUGUAUGUUUUAUUCGAGUAACUGUCACGGACUGCCAUUUUAAGAACACGGGCUGAAAAACCUUCUUUUACGCCCAUAUUGACAGAAAGCCGCGUUAGUUUAAACCUAUUUAUUUUAGCUCGAUUGCAUUGAAAGUAUUUACUACUUAUUUGAAAUGCUCUCGAGUCCGUUUCCUGGGCCUAGAACCAGUACUUGGUGUCUUUUGGGGGAAAUCUAAAGAACGCUCCCACAGUGGGGAUCGAACCCGUGACCUCCCGGUCGCUAGGCGGACACCAUGUCCAUAACACCACGGCGUUGAUAAGCCUUUACUCAAUUGAGGUUAAUAUGGUAGACAUAUGAGCUUCUUAAUGCAUAUUUAGUAACAGUGUUAUCAAACAUCGGACAGCCCUUUUAUAUUUUACGUUUUCGGAAACGACGUCUUUUGCAAAAUAGUAACACGCGCGAGGUGCAGCGCUGUUUUAGUGCCAAUAAUAAUGACAUAAGUAUUCUUGACGCUGUUAUUCACAAAUGGGUCGGAUGUCAUUUGGGCGUCGAUUUUGAUUUUACUUAUUUGUAAU
Long non-coding RNA from Dreissena polymorpha, 5541 nucleotides. RefSeq lists it as uncharacterized. The record is from RefSeq and is a predicted model, not a curated record. NCBI's taxonomy places the organism in Eukaryota, Metazoa, Mollusca, Bivalvia, Myida, Dreissenidae. The transcript has 4 exons.